CUACGGGAGGCAGCAGUGGGGAAUAUUGCACAAUGGGCGCAAGCCUGAUGCAGCCAUGCCGCGUGUGUGAAGAAGGCCUUCGGGUUGUAAAGCACUUUCAGUAGGGAGGAAGGUGGUAGUGUUAAUAGCGCUAUCAUUUGACGUUACCUACAGAAGAAGCACCGGCUAACUCCGUGCCAGCAGCCGCGGUAAUACGGAGGGUGCGAGCGUUAAUCGGAAUUACUGGGCGUAAAGCGCAUGCAGGUGGUUUGUUAAGUCAGAUGUGAAAGCCCCGGGCUCAACCUGGGAAUUGCAUUUGAAACUGGCAAACAAGAAUACUGUAGAGGGGGGUAGAAUUUCAGGUGUAGCGGUGAAAUGCGUAGAGAUCUGAAGGAAUACCGGUGGCGAAGGCGGCCCCCUGGACAGAUACUGACACUCAGAUGCGAAAGCGUGGGGAGCAAACAGGAUUAGAUACCCUGGUAGUCCACGCCGUAAACGAUGUCUACUUGGAGGUUGUGCCCUUGAGCCGUGGCUUUCGGAGCUAACGCGUUAAGUAGACCGCCUGGGGAGUACGGUCGCAAGAUUAAAACUCAAAUGAAUUGACGGGGGCCCGCACAAGCGGUGGAGCAUGUGGUUUAAUUCGAUACAACGCGAAGAACCUUACCUACUCUUGACAU
Molecule: ribosomal RNA, 656 nt
Filed under: Vibrio parahaemolyticus
Lineage: Bacteria; Pseudomonadati; Pseudomonadota; Gammaproteobacteria; Vibrionales; Vibrionaceae
Description: bacterial SSU rRNA
Rfam family: Bacterial small subunit ribosomal RNA
Source: RNAcentral